This 51-nucleotide transfer RNA is filed under the name Digera muricata. Lineage: Eukaryota; Viridiplantae; Streptophyta; Magnoliopsida; Caryophyllales; Amaranthaceae. The record is from RNAcentral.
GAGUAGUCGGCUUUUACCGAUCGGUUCCGGGUUCGAGUCCCGGGCAACCCA